This 674-nucleotide long non-coding RNA is filed under the name Sus scrofa (pig). RNAcentral describes it as "lncRNA (ENSSSCG00055022695.1)". Lineage: Eukaryota; Metazoa; Chordata; Mammalia; Artiodactyla; Suidae. The record is from RNAcentral.
CGCCGCUGCUAUGGGCGCCACUGUUGUUGUGAAGCCCCGACGCCGCCGCUCACUCCGCCAUGUUGCCGCCCCCUGCCUGCGGUAGCGGCCACUGCGCCUGCGCAGAGCCUCCGGGGGGCGGAGCCCUGGCGGCACCCCCUCUUUCGCCCUGCCCUCCUUCUCCUUCCACCCACCCACCCCGACACCCCUUGUCCCUCCCCCAACCACUCUGAACGGAUAGACAGGUGAGCAGGUGCAUGGGGACCGCUGCCAGACACUGGGGCGAGCUGGCGGAGGCGGGGCGGGUGGUGGCUUCCUCGUAAUUUCUCCCUGGAGGGUGGAUUCUCCCUGUGGGGAAGGACACAGAGUGUGUGUGUCUUGCCUUCGCUGCCACCUCCUUAUUCCCUCAAUAUCCUCUUGCUAGGGGGAGAUUCAUCUUCGUCGUCGCACCCAGCUGCUGCUACUGCCAGUGCCACGUGCCUUGCAAGAUAAAGAAGCACCAGCAGAGCUGGCGAGCAGAAACCUGGCCUCAGGGCAAAAGAGAUGCCACAGAAAUAGUUACACAGGCCUCGGAAGGGAAGCCUCCACUGCGUGUACGGCCCCCGUGGACUGCCACAGGAUUUCCUAGGAUCCUCCUGGAAGCCUCAAAGAAUGGGUCAGAUUUUGUGGAUUCUAAGCAUCAUGACACUCUAUAA